This is a long non-coding RNA of Oreochromis aureus, 2407 nucleotides long. Lineage: Eukaryota; Metazoa; Chordata; Actinopteri; Cichliformes; Cichlidae. The record is from Ensembl.
CUCCGGAGACAUUGCCCAUGUAAGAUCUACAUGUCUGAGUCUGUCUUUCUUGCCUCCUGAGUUUCCUCUUUACAUUUCUUGGUCCUCCGAGCCGGAGUAGACAUAACAUUUUUGUGUGAUCCUAUGGGAAAACCUCAUCGAGUCCUGACGUCGUGAGAAGCCCGCGCUGAAGUCUGUCGACAGCUCCUCUCUAGGUAGAGGAUAUAAAGACCAGAGACGUUGAAAUUCGGGUUCUGGCCAGCGUUCUUAAAAGUGGUCCACGGCAGUGGGGGUCGAUGAGGCGGACCUGAGAGACCGGCAGUGAAUCAGCAACCAGGUUGAAGGCAGGUGAUUGGAUCCUGAUAAGGGUGCUCCAGAGGAAAAAUUGGAGCUCACCCCGUUGGGAAGGACCCUACCAAGUACUCCUGACCACACCAACAGCCUGCAAAAUAGCAGAAAGACCGUCCUGGAUCCAUCAAAGCCACUGUAAAAGAGUGAGUGAGAGCAUAGACUAACCGGACACUGACUUCCUUACUCUCGGGUGAUUCGUCAGGUGAAGGAAGUGCCGAUUGGGUAUAUCCCGCACUUUUUCUUCUUGCCUAAGUCCCCUGAGACGUGAGGUAAGCCAGGUAAACAUGAAGUCGCUCUUAAUCUCACUAACCCUGACAGUCCUAGUGGCAGGAUGUCUCAUCCUACUGAAGAUGGAUCCGAGGGAACGGACAAAGAAAGCUUGGACACAUGACAACUCACACCUGGACAAGAUGACGCAGGACCACAAUCAUCCUUGGAUGAACAACGUGUGGUACAGAUAUGUAUACAACCGCACGACAGAAAAGAACUGCUUUGUUUGCUCACACAUGCCUGCAACUUCUGUCCAUACAACUAUUUAUGGGAAGGUUCCGUCACUUGAAACGAGCAUGUGCAUUCACAUGAAAGUCAUAAAUGGAACUUGUUCACAUAGAGACAUGUUUAUAGUAAGAGCCCUAGCGUUUUCACUGCUGACCUACGACGUGAAUAACCUAACAGCUACAAACUGGACGUGUGACGAAGCGCACUGGGUGAACGUGAAUGUGUCAAACAAAAGAAUAAUGACAUUUCCAGCCUUCUUGCAGAGUGAAGAACGUCACCCGAUAUGUUUCGACUUCUCAUACGGAAGGACAAAACUUGGUCGAACCAAGAACUGCAGUAUAGUCUGGAAGGACAAUGCCGAUGCAGCUAUGACUUUUAAGCGUGGCACGUACUGGGUCCAGGGGACAGCUUGGGUGUGUGGACCAAAAACGUACUACAUGCUGCCCCCCAAGGCAACAGACGACGGCGUUCAACUGACACCGGUCCAGAACCACACGAUCGAAUAUGGGGCUCUGAUGUCCCACAGGAAUUCAAACUCUGGACCACUGGACAGAAAGUACUUCAUGCCCUGUUUCCUUGGGUGGGCACAGGGAAAAAAUGCGCUGAGAAUUGAAACCUUGAAUUACAGAUGUGGACUCUUCCUGAACGCUUCAUGCAAAAUAAGGCAGAGUACAAAAUGAGGAAAUAGAUGCUUUAAGAAUCUCAAUAAUGCAGCACAGAGUGGCUCUAGACAUAUUACUGGCCGGAAAAGGUGGAUUGUGUGUAUUAUUUAACACCACAUGUUGCACAUACAUACCUGACAAUGUACACUCCAACAACAUGACAGAAGCAUUAAAAACACUGAAAUAACUGCAAGAUGUACAAACACAGGAUUAUGCCUCUGUACCAACUGACUGGUGGAAAUGGUUGUUAAGUGGCUCGUGGACUGUUUUGCUGUAUAAAGGUCUAAUAUUCAUAGGACUCUUACUUGUAUUAUUCUGUGUAUUCUCCACAUGUAUUCUCCCUUGUCUCAGGAAGAUGAUUUCUAAAAUGAUUUCCACAUCAUUGACAGCUUAUGUUUCUGUACCUAUGGAUGACAAAAACGAUCUGAGUAACAGUGAGGAUAACUUUGAAGACGAAAAUGUUUAUGUGUAGAAAGAAAAUCUUAAAGACGACCUGUAAAGCUAGAUUGCAAUAUAAGUAACACAUAAUGACGACAUAUUUGAAAAUGCUAGGAGCAAGAGAACAUGUUCUGAAAUAAAGUGUGAAACGUGUUUAAAUGAGCUAAAACAGGAGGGAAUGUUAAGGUAUUUUUAUAUGUAUUCUGCUCUAUUGUAGUUAAAAAUCCCUAGUUGUUUAGCUUCAUUUUCACUGUGUUUCAUGACAAUGCUUGCAUAAGGAAGUUGCCACAGGAAACCUCACCCUUGCUGAGUUUGCUGAGUUUGCUGAGAUAAGCUUGACCAGUUCCUGUUGUGACAGUUGAACGUAUAUGCUUUAUGCUUAUCACCUUGUAAGGAGUUGUUUUGUACUAACAAGGGGUGGCGCCCUGAAAUGUGCUACGUAAGAGCUGUCUAUAAAUACAGAGAGAACCGAUGUCCCG